GACUACAGGAUUCCCCUAGUACUGCGAGUGAAGCGGGAAAAGCUCAAAUUUUGAAUCUGGCGGUCCGAGAGGGCCGUCCGAGUUGUAAUCUAGAGAAGCGUCUUCCGCGCUGGACCGUGUAUAAGUUUCCUGGAAUGGAACGUCGCAGAGGGUGACAAUCCCGUCUUUGACACGGACUCCCAGGGCUUAUGUGAUGCGCUCUCGACGAGUCGAGUUGUUUGGGAAUGCAGCUCAAAUAGGGUGGUAAAUUCCAUCUAAAGCUAAAUAUUGGCGAGAGACCGAUAGCGAACAAGUACCGUGAGGGAAAGAUGAAAAGAACUUUGGAAAGAGAGUUAAACAGUACGUGAAAUUGCUGAAAGGGAAACGUUUGAGGUCAGUCGCGUCGACCGGGGGUCAGCCUUGCUUUCAUCGCUCGGCGUACUUCCUGGUCUGACGGGUCAGCAUCGGUUUCGAUCGUCGGAAAAGGGCUCGAGUAAUGUGGCACUCUUCGGGGUGCGUUAUAGACUUGGGCCAUCUUAAUACGAUGGUUGGGACCGAGGAACUCAGCACGGCCUUAGGGUUCGGGGCCCCUUAUGGGGCCCACGUUUAGCGUGCUUAGGAUGCUGGCAUAAUGGCCUUAACCGACCCGUCUUGAAACACGGACCAAGGAGUCUAACGCGCUCGCGAGUGUUUGGGCGAUUAAAACCCGGACGCGAAAUCAAAGUGAAAGUCGAGACCUCUGUCGUGGAGGGCACCGACGCCCGGACCUGAGCUUCUGCAAAGGAUCUGCGGUAGAGCGCGYGCGUUGGGACCCGAAAGAUGGUGAACUAUGCCUGAAUAGGGCGAAGCCAGAGGAAACUCUGGUGGAGGCUCGUAGCGAUUCUGACGUGCAAAUCGAUCGUCGAAUUUGGGUAUAGGGGCGGAAAGACUAAUCGAACCAUCUAUAACU
RNAcentral lists this ribosomal RNA (928 nucleotides) under Psiloboletinus lariceti. RNAcentral's name for it is "partial large subunit ribosomal RNA". It matches the Rfam family "Eukaryotic large subunit ribosomal RNA", at positions 56 to 952 of the family's 3401-position model. The record is from RNAcentral. Lineage: Eukaryota; Fungi; Basidiomycota; Agaricomycetes; Boletales; Suillaceae.